RNAcentral lists this unclassified non-coding RNA (250 nucleotides) under Hevea brasiliensis (rubber tree). Lineage: Eukaryota; Viridiplantae; Streptophyta; Magnoliopsida; Malpighiales; Euphorbiaceae. The record is from RNAcentral.
GGCGAGCGCCUCAUCGCCUUUGGCGAGAGGCGAGGCGAUGGGUCCUCGCCAUUCUCUGCCGAGGCGAGGCGAUAGCAAAAAGGCGAGGAGUGGCGAGGUGUGGCGCUACAAUGGCGACAGAAAAGGCGCUGCCUUUUUAAUUAAAAAUAUUUGACUUAACAAUAUUAAUCAAAAUUAGGGUUUUUUUUAAUACUUUUGAAAUUUCUGCUUUCUCCAUCGCGACUCUCGCUCUCGAUUGACUCUCUUCUCG